UUGGAGGUUGUGCCCUUGAGGCGUGGCUUCCGGAGCUAACGCGUUAAGUAGACCGCCUGGGGAGUACGGCCGCAAGGUUAAAACUCAAAUGAAUUGACGGGGGCCCGCACAAGCGGUGGAGCAUGUGGUUUAAUUCGAUGCAACGCGAAGAACCUUACCUGGUCUUGACAUCCACAGAAUUCUGCAGAGAUGCGGAAGUGCCUUCGGGAACUGUGAGACAGGUGCUGCAUGGCUGUCGUCAGCUCGUGUUGUGAAAUGUUGGGUUAAGUCCCGCAACGAGCGCAACCCUUAUCCUUUGUUGCCAGCGAUUAGGUCGGGAACUCAAAGGAGACUGCCAGUGAUAAACUGGAGGAAGGUGGGGAUGACGUCAAGUCAUCAUGGCCCUUACGACCAGGGCUACACACGUGCUACAAUGGCGCAUACAAAGAGAAGCGACCUCGCGAGAGCAAGCGGACCUCAUAAAGUGCGUCGUAGUCCGGAUUGGAGUCUGCAACUCGACUCCAUGAAGUCGGAAUCGCUAGUAAUCGUGGAUCAGAAUGCCACGGUGAAUACGUUCCCGGGCCUUGUACACACCGCCCGUCACACCAUGGGAGUGGGUUGCAAAAGAAGUAGGUAGCUUAACCUUCGGGAGGGCGCUUACCACUUUGUGAUUCAUGACUGGGGUGAAGUCGUAACAAGGUAACCGUAGGGGAACCUGC
Molecule: ribosomal RNA, 698 nt
Filed under: Salmonella enterica
Lineage: Bacteria; Pseudomonadati; Pseudomonadota; Gammaproteobacteria; Enterobacterales; Enterobacteriaceae
Also listed under: 1 other name
Description: bacterial SSU rRNA
Rfam family: Bacterial small subunit ribosomal RNA
Source: RNAcentral